Molecule: ribosomal RNA, 492 nt
Filed under: uncultured bacterium
Lineage: Bacteria
Description: partial 16S ribosomal RNA
Rfam family: Bacterial small subunit ribosomal RNA
Source: RNAcentral
AGUGAACGCUGGCGGUAGGCCUAACACAUGCAAGUCGAACGGCAGCACAGUAAGAGCUUGCUCUUACGGGUGGCGAGUGGCGGACGGGUGAGGAAUACAUCGGAAUCUACUUUUUCGUGGGGGAUAACGUGGGGAAACUUACGCUAAUACCGCAUACGACCUACGGGUGAAAGCAGGGGAUCUUCGGACCUUGCGCGAUUGAAUGAGCCGAUGUCGGACUAGCUAGUUGGCGGGGUAAAGGCCCACCAAGGCGACGAUCCGUAGCUGGUCUGAGAGGAUGAUCAGCCACACUGGAACUGAGACACGGUCCAGACUCCUACGGGAGGCAGCAGUGGGGAAUAUUGGACAAUGGGCGCAAGCCUGAUCCAGCCAUACCGCGUGGGUGAAGAAGGCCUUCGGGUUGUAAAGCCCUUUUGUUGGGAAAGAAAAGCAGCAGGUUAAUACCCCGCUGUUCUGACGGUACCCAAAGAAUAAGCACCGGCUAACUUCGUG